RNAcentral lists this ribosomal RNA (301 nucleotides) under uncultured bacterium. RNAcentral's name for it is "partial 16S ribosomal RNA". It matches the Rfam family "Bacterial small subunit ribosomal RNA", at positions 509 to 809 of the family's 1533-position model. The record is from RNAcentral.
CAGUAGCCGCGGGAAUACGUAGGUGGCAAGCGUUGUCCGGAAUUAUUGGGCGUAAAGGGCUCGCAGGCGGUUUCUUAAGUCUGAUGUGAAAGCCUCCGGCUCAACCGGGGAGGGUCAUUGGAAACUGGGAAACUUGAGUGCAGAAGAGGAGAGUGGAAUUCCACGUGUAGCGGUGAAAUGCGUAGAGAUGUGGAGGAACACCAGUGGCGAAGGUGACUCUCUGGUCUGUAACUGACGCUGAGGAGCGAAAGCGUGGGGAGCGAACAGGAUUAGAUACCCGUGUAGUCCCUGUCUCUUAUAA